This 27-nucleotide transfer RNA is filed under the name Rhinella lindae. RNAcentral describes it as "partial tRNA-Gln". The record is from RNAcentral. Lineage: Eukaryota; Metazoa; Chordata; Amphibia; Anura; Bufonidae.
UUAGAAAAAUAGGAAUCGAACCUAUAA